Molecule: non-coding RNA, 6970 nt
Organism: Nothobranchius furzeri (turquoise killifish)
Lineage: Eukaryota; Metazoa; Chordata; Actinopteri; Cyprinodontiformes; Nothobranchiidae
Source: RefSeq, a predicted model, not a curated record
CACGCACACACACACUCACAUGCACACACACAUGCACACUCACACACACACACACUUUUAGAAAUCGGGAAUGUUUUCCCACUCUUGGACUUGAGCCUGAGAUCUGUGGACUCAGUGGUCUCCUUUAAAGAGCAGCUGAAGACUCGUCUGUUCAGGCUUUGGUGUGACCUUCGUGCGACCUCGUGCUGAGUCUUCCUCACUAGCUUCGCUUCACGCUGCCGUUUCUACUGAUGAAUCCCGCGGUUUCUUCCUCCACAUUUUCAUUUCCCAAUUUUUUAAAUCAUUUUUUAUUUUUGUCCUUGUGAAGCACCUUGUGACUGGGGUCCUUUAUAAAAAGUCUUCUGUAAUUAUGUAGAACCUUCUAGAACCCCCCAAGGUGCUUUAUAAAACUCUCCUUCACACACGGAUGGUGAACAAGCUACAUCAUCACCACAGCUGCCCUGGGCUGUGCUGACAGCCGUACACAGGCACCGCCGGCCCUCUGACCACCAUCAGCAGGCAAGGAGGGUGAAAUGUUUUGCCCAAGGACACUACGGCAGCGACAGACUGAGUGGCGUGGAACCCGCACCCCUCCAGGUAUGUGGCAGGCACGUGUUGGUGAGAGGACAGUAAUGGACAAUGAAGAGCUGUAGGGACAAAUUUCACGCCACGCCACACAGACUUGGUUCCCAGACAGCGACAGGCCGCCCGUGUCCAUGUAGUCAGGCUAACGCAGGAUGGGCAACAAGCCGCCUUCAGCACAGCCUGGUCUGAGAGGGACCGUCACAGCUCCAAGGGUUACCCUAACCCGUCACAAUACCACUCCAGUCAUGUAGCUAAACCUGUUGUUGUCUGCUUCUCCAUUUGUGUUGUUUGGCAGGUGAUUCGUGCUGCAGCCCAGCGGCAGGUUGCUUUUAGCCCAGGCUGAGGCAUGAAGACGGCUGCAGCCAUGAGGGAAGGUUCGCAGCUGCUGCUGAAUCAGCACCAUUUACACAGAGAAAUGCAGACGAUGCUGCACUCCUGGUAAAACCACUCACCUGUCCAGCCCACAGAUCCCACUGAGCUGCAGCCAGCGUGCACCACCUGAGCCUGCAGGUGAACGGACUGCUGCUGCGCAGGUGAACGUAACAGAGGUGACCUGUGAGUCAUAGGAGCAUCAACAACGCGCUCAGGAGCAACUUCCGGCUCCGCCCACAUCGGUGUCACUAAACAAUCUAAAUCAACGUAAAACGAAAGGAGAGCCGGGCCUCCCAUCGCCCUCGCCCGGGGAGGGGGGACUCACCAGGGGUCAAACUCGUGGAUGAUGCUCUCGAAGCGGAUGACAGCGAAGAGCCUGGAGCUGAAUCCCGCCAGCCAGGCCAGGAACAGGAUGGUGAAGGACAGCAGGGACUGCCAUCCGGCCGGCUGCGACAGGCCGCCGGACAGACCUCCUGCCCCGGUACCGACUCUCUCCGUCUCCGCCGCGCUGCUGCGUCCGUUCCCCGAGACCGACGCUGCGGAGUUCAGCUGGGAUUUGUGUUUGUUUUCGGAAACCGGGUGAUGCUCCGCCAUAUUCCCAUACGUCACUCCCGUAGUGGCAGCUAGUGAUCCCCCCACCCCCCUGUCUUCUUCCCUCUGCCACGAUCCACGUCCCGGAAUUCCCAGAGCCACGUCUGUUUCCCAGCGAGUCCCGGAGCAGCUAAACGGAUGCAGACAGGAACAUCACCGCUCUGAAGCGACACACGCGGCUGCGGGAGCAGUUCCCCCUUCCUAGUAGCUGAAUGAGGAGGCGGGAGCUGCUGGCGGAGCAGCCUCUCACAGCGAGACAGGUACGACCAGGACAGGACCAAUCACAGCACACGGUACGUGACGGACAUGCGCUACGACCAAUCACAAAUCCGCAGCAACUUCAAGAGGGGAGGGGCACGAAGAGGGAACCGCAUGAGCGCUCGUGUCCGUGCCAGACAGUCUGGGAUCACGUGAUUACCUUUUUUUAUUCUUAUUUACAUUUGAAAUCAAAGUUUUUCUUGUUUUCAAUUGUAAUUAUGAUAUUUAGUGUUGGUAGCGCACUGCUUUCCCCCUGAGGCGCCGGAUGGUGGACCAGAAUCUCCUCGAAGCCGUACAGAAGUCUUGCUCCAUGGUCUCACCGACCUCCUCCCAUCUGGGUUCUUGCCUCGGCGACCACCCGAGCUGCGUUCCGCUUGGACUGCCGGUACCCGUCAGCUGCCUCUGGAGUCCCACAGGCCAAAAAGACCUGAUAGGACUCUUUCUUCAGCUUGACAGCAUCCCUAACCGCCAGUGUCCACCAGCGGGUUCGGGGGUUGCCACCAUGACAGGCACCAACGAUCCUUUGACCACAGCUCCGGUCGGCCGCCUCAACAAUGGAGGCACUGAACAGGGUCCAUUCAGACUCAAUGUCCCCCGCCUCCCCCGGAACAUUUUGGAAGUUCUGUGGAGGUGGGAAUUGAAGCUCCUUCUGACAGGAGACUCUGCCAGAUGUUCCCAGCAGACCCUCGCGAUACAUUUGGCCCUGCCUGGUUUGACCGACAUCCUCCCCACCAUCUGAGCCAACUCACCACCAGGUAGUGGUCAGUUGACAGCUCCGCCCCUCUCAUCACCCGAGUGUCCAAGACUUGCGGCCGCAGGUCAGAAGAAACAACAACAAAGUCGAUCAUCGAGCUGCGGCCUAAGGUAUCCUGGUGCCUAGAGCACAUACGGACACCUUUAUGGGGACGGUGUGCUACUGACCUCUACUCAGGACGUUGUGGAUCGUGGGCAGAAUACUUCGAAGACCUCCUCAAUCCCACCGACACGUCUUCCAGUGAGGAAGCAGAGUCUGGGGACUUUGGGUUGGCCUCUCAAAUCUCUGGUGCUGAGGUCACUGAGGUGGUUAAAAGCUCCUCUGUGGCAAGGCUCCAGGGGUGGAUGAGAUCCGCCCAGAGUUCCUUAAGGCUCUGGAUGUUGUGGGGUGGUGUUGGCUGACGCGGCUCUGCAAUAUCGCGUGGCCAUCGGGGGCAGUCCCACUGGACUGGCAGACCGGGGUGGUGGUCCCCUUAUUUAAAAAGGGGGACCGCAGGGUUUGUUCCAAGGGGGAUCACACUCCUGAGCCUUCCUGGUAAGGUCUAUUCAGGGGUUCUGGAGAGGAGGGUCCGUCGGAUUGUUGAACCUCAGAUUCAGGAGGAGCAAUGUGGUUUUCGUCCUGGCCGUGGAACACUGGACCAGCUCCAUACCAUUAGGGGGAUCCUGGAGGGUGCGUGGGAAUUUGCCCAACCAGUCUACAUGUGUUUUGUGGAUUUGGAGAAGGCGUUGGACCGUGUUCCUCGGGGGGCCCUGUGGGGGGUACUCCGGGAGUAUGGGGUACCAGGCCCUCUGAUACGGGUCGCUGUAUGACCGGUGUCAGAGCUUGGUGAAGAGAGAGCUGAGUCAGAAGGUGAAGCUCUCAAUUUACUGGUGGAUCUACGUUCCUACCCUCACCUAUGGUCAAGAGCUUUGAGUAGUGACCGAAAGAACGAGAUCGUGGACACAAGCGGCCGAAAUGAGUUUUCUCCGAAGAGUGGCUGGGCUCUCCCUUAGAGAUAGGGUGAGAAGCUCGGUCAUUUGGGAGGGGCUCGGAGUAGACCGGCUGCUUCUCCACAUCAAGAGGAGCCAGUUGAGGUGGCUCGGGCAUCUGGUCAGGAUGCCUCCUGGACGCCUCUCUGGUAAGGUUGUCCGGGCACAUCCAACCGGGAGCAGACCUAAAGGUAGACCCAGGAUACGCUGGAGGGACUAUUCCCAUCUGUACCUGGUCGGCCCGGAUAGCAUAACUUGCUUACAUAUCUUGGUGGCCUGCCUUUUUUCAGGGUGCAACAAGACUGUUUUUCAGCCCUCUCUCUGAGGUAGUCUGCUUCAGGGUGACCAGGGCCAACACACCCACUGCUGAGUGAUAAGCCGGCUUAUCAGUCAGCAAAUUCACACCUUCCAUUAGAGCAAGCCUCUGAUUGGUGGGUAGAAUCAGCCCACAUGGGCUUAAGGUAUGCUCAAUUCAUUAUCAUUCAUUAUCAUGCUGAUUACCUAGAAGCUGAAAAUGUCUCUGACUGCAUUCCUUGCAUACCCAAGCAAGGAUGUGUGGAAUCAACCGGGCCAGGCUGGGGCCGACUGGAGCUAUCCGGGCAGGGCCGACCAGGUACAGAUGAGAAUGGCCAUUUUGUCUCUCGCCUGGCCAGGGAACGCCUUGGGAUUCCCCCGGAGGAGCUGGCCCAAGUGGCUGGGGAGAGGGAAGUCUGGGCCUCUCGCCUUAUGGGCUCGACACACGGGAGGCGACAUCGCCUCUCCUCCAUUCAUUUUCAAUGAGACGUGCGCAACAAAGCGAUAAUCGCGGGUCUCCCUCCUACUAAGCGAAACGCGAAAAACGUGCGUGUGAAAUUUUGCACUCGUGCACGUGCCGUGCACAGACGACCCAGUGACGCGAUCCCAGAAAGUUGAAACAUUUUCAACUUUUCAUCGCUGUCGCUCGGACGAGGACCAAUCAACGGAGGUUUCCUUCACUGACCAAUGAGCGGACAGGAUGCUCCAUACAUCUCCGAGCAAACAUGGAGGAGAAGUUGAUUAUUAUUAUGUUUUAUAGUAAAAUCAGAAGUAAGAUUUCACAUAACUCUAGCAGCACCUUGUGAAACAUCAUAUCUACCGCUUUAUUAACUCUGAACCGCUUAAAUAACCUUAAUUCCCUCCAACCUGACACAGCCAAUCAAAACAACGGAAGUUUCGAUUUCGCCAUGGAACAGAACGCGUAGACGGCUUUGCCGCUGGCCGCUGCCGCGGAUCGCCUCCCGUGUGUCAGGUAAAAAAAGCGACAGCGACAAAUUUCGCUGAUCGCGGUCGUUUGUCGCCUCCCGUGUGUCGAGCCCAUUAGGCUACUGCCCCCGCGACCCGACUCCGGAUAAGCGGAUGAAAAUGGAUGGAUGAAUGGAUGAAUGGAUUAUGAUAUUUAUGAACCAUUUUAUGUUAUUAACAUUUUGUCGUUCUUGUGAAGCGCGUCGUGAUUUUUAUCUUGAGGUGUAUCGUUUCUUCUGCUUCUACCUAACUGCAAUUGCACAUUCAGCCACAAGAUGGCGACAUACACACAUUUUAUUCCCAAGCGUUUUGAAUCUUCUUUAUGCUGAAACAUAAACCCUUUGUGAAAAAUCCUUCACAAAGACAGUUUGUCAGGGAGAGCGUGUUACUGGUGUAGAAUAUUGUUUAUUCCCGCAACCGAAUGCCUCACAUUGACUCUUAUACCUCUUCUCAGUGGAGGCAAACUGCUCCAUCUUUGUCUCAUCUGACCAUGAAACUUUUGUCUGCAUGACAUUUGUCUUGUCCAUGUGGACAGAUGAGAUGGCAGGUGUCUUUUCUCUGCCUUGUCCUCUCAGUCCACAUUGAUGUAAAAUUGGUCUCACUGGACUAGAAGUCCUCCAGUGGCAGCAGCUAAUCAUCUCAUUGGCUUGGUUGAUCAUCUGCUUCACUAUUUAGCCGAGAGGAUCUCACUAACUGUGAUGGCUGGAACGCUCUCUAGAUGAACCAUGGGAUGACUGACGUUAGUUUCUCAGGUUCUUCCAUAGAAAGACAAAGUCCUCAUCUUCUUGUUGAUUUUUUCUGAGACAGAAAAGUUUAGAUGUUGUUGAAGAAAGUUCCCAGCUCCAGUAAAAAGGAGAAUCUUCUCAAACUAGUUGGUCUAUCUUUGUGCUCUCCAGUCAGAGUCCAGACCUGAAAACUACCGUUCACAGAUGCCUUCCUGCCAAUCUGGGCUUCAGCUGAUUUACAGCAAUGUGGAAGAAAUGUCAGCCUUUAGAUGUGUAGAGCUGGUGGACCCCCCCCUCUGCUCUACUGAUGCAGGGGGCUGGACACAAAUGCACGGCACCGUUUAGGUUUUUAUUUGUGUAGCGAGAGAAAUCCGUGGAGUGUGAAGGUCAUGACACGGUCCACAGCCGUCUUCCCUUUGCCCGAGAAGCUGUGCACUCUAAACCCAAACACAUGCGCUGUUUAUGACCUCACCAUCUGGGAAACCAUCACAACAAUCCUGUUUAUGGUCACGAGUCUGCUUCGGUAGACGGAACUCUCCAACUUUAAUAAACAACCAAAUUCUGUGUUACACAAGGAUUCCCUCACUUUACAGGUGAAAUACAACCAACGAGUGUUUUAUCUGAAAUAAGACUUUACAGUCAUGAUAAAUCUAAAUAACUUAUUGUUGGAUUGCAUGAUUUCAGAUCUUAAAGAACCACAAAUCUACUUGAUGACUUAAUGAUGAUUUUAUUAUCAGUCAUGCCACAUUUUAACAUCAGUAUAUUAACCGUGACAGUUCCAUCUUAUUUAGAUCCCAUAGUAAGAGAAAUGCUUUCUUUAGGUUUCUUGGGGCAGAUGUGAUGUCAUGGGACGUUGCUCAUUCCUCCUACAUUUCUCUGGGCUCUGAUUGGUCCAACACGGGCCCUGAAAAGAGGGAGUCACUUCGUCUUCUCUUGAGUUCCAGCCAAAGUGCUAAAUGCACAUCUUUCGGGAGAUGAAGCCAGAUCUUUCAGCAGGACCCUGUGUCAGGACUGAACAACUAUUGUUUGUUUUGACCUGCAACGACUUCAUCAGACGAACAACGACCCACCAGCAGAAGUACCGGGGGUAUCUCUUGACCAGCCGGGUGGGCUUAUAUGGACUACGACCUUUGAUGACCCAGAGGUCAAAACAAGUCGCCUUGUCGAGACGACUUUGCUGCAAGCUGGAUGUCUGAGAACCCUCAUCCCGCGGACACCGUAGCUCUGCACACGGGCGUCGGAUGAGUUAAAUGUAUUUGAAAACUAACCAAGCAUCAGUAAAUGCAGCCAGAUUAUUCUAAUAAUCCCAGAUAUCACAUUCUUUCCUAAGUCGCCUAAUUAGACUCUUAAUAACAUCUAAGUUUCAUUAAAGUUUGAUUAUUGUCUCAGCUGAUUUUCCCUUGAAUACUCAUUCAUCUACAGCUGUCUUGUAAAUUUGUUGUAGAAAUAAAGUAAUAAAUGGAUUUUUAUAAACUAUA